GUGUCAGCCGCCGCGGUAAUACGUAGGCAGCAAGCGUUGUUCGGAGUUACUGGGCGUAAAGGGUGUGUAGGUGGCGCGCUAAGUUCCGUGUGAAAUCUCCCGGCUCAACCGGGAGGGUGCGCGGAAAACUGGCAGGCUAGAGUACGGGAUGGGAGAGUAGAAUUCCUGGUGUAGCGGUGAAAUGCGUAGAUAUCAGGAGGAAUACCGGUGGUGUAGACGGCUCUCUGGACCGUAACUGACACUGAAACACGAAAGCGUGGGUAGCAAACAGGAUUAGAUACCCUGGUAGUCCACGCCCUAAACGAUGCAUAUUUGGUGUAGGUCAUUCAGUUGAUCUGUGCCGGAGCUAACGCGUUAAAUAUGCCGCCUGGGGAGUACAGUCGCAAGGCUGAA
RNAcentral lists this ribosomal RNA (393 nucleotides) under uncultured bacterium. Its description in RNAcentral is "bacterial SSU rRNA". It matches the Rfam family "Bacterial small subunit ribosomal RNA", at positions 505 to 898 of the family's 1533-position model. The record is from RNAcentral.